CCUACGGGAGGCUGCAGUAGGGAAUAUUGCUCAAUGGGGGAAACCCUGAAGCAGCAACGCCGCGUGGAGGAUGAAGGUUUUCGGAUUGUAAACUCCUUUUGUUAGAGAAGAUAAUGACGGUAACUAACGAAUAAGAACCGGCUAACUCCGUGACAGCAGCCGCGGUAAUACAGAGGGUGCAAGCGUUACCCGGAAUCACUGGGCGUAAAGAGCGCGUAGGCGGGAUAGCAAGUCAGAUGUGAAAUCCUAUGGCUUAACCAGAGAACUGCAUUUGAAACUGUUAGUCUAGAGUAUGGGAGAGGGAGGUGGAAUUCUUGGUGUAGGAGUAAAAUCCGUAGAGAUCGAGAGGAAUACUCGUGGCGAAGGCGAGCUGCUAGAACAUAACUGACGCUGAGGCGCGAAGGCGUGGGGAGCGAACGGGAUUAGAUACCCUGGUAGUC
This 440-nucleotide ribosomal RNA is filed under the name uncultured bacterium. Its description in RNAcentral is "partial 16S ribosomal RNA". It matches the Rfam family "Bacterial small subunit ribosomal RNA", at positions 338 to 795 of the family's 1533-position model. The record is from RNAcentral.